This 483-nucleotide ribosomal RNA is filed under the name uncultured Lactobacillaceae bacterium. RNAcentral's name for it is "bacterial SSU rRNA". It matches the Rfam family "Bacterial small subunit ribosomal RNA", at positions 53 to 507 of the family's 1533-position model. Lineage: Bacteria; Bacillati; Bacillota; Bacilli; Lactobacillales; Lactobacillaceae. The record is from RNAcentral.
ACUGAAAUUCUAAACGAAGUCCCUUCCGGGGUGGAGUUUGUUUGACGGCUAGCGGCGGGAUAGGGGUGAGUAACGACGUAGGGCGAAUCUGCCCUAAAGACUGGGAUACCACUGGAAACAGGUAGCUAAUACCGGAUAACAACAUGAAUCGCAUGAUUCAAGUUUGUAAAGGACGGCGUAAGCUGUCACUUUAGGAUGAGCCGCGGCGCAUUAGCUAGUUGUGGGGUAGAGGCCUACCAAGGCGAUGAUGCGUAGCCGAGUUGAGAGACUGAUCGGCCACAUUGGGACUGAGACACGGCCCAAACUCCUACGGGAGGCAGCAGUAGGGAAUCUUCCACAAUGGACGCGAGUCUGAUGGAGCAACGCCGCGUGAGUGAAGAAGGUUUUCGGAUCGUAAAGCUCUGUUGUUGGUGAAGAAGGAUAGAGGCAGUAACUGGUCUUUAUUUGACGGUAAUCAACCAGAAAGUCACGGCUAACUACGUG